This 602-nucleotide ribosomal RNA is filed under the name Companilactobacillus farciminis. RNAcentral's name for it is "bacterial SSU rRNA". It matches the Rfam family "Bacterial small subunit ribosomal RNA", at positions 57 to 627 of the family's 1533-position model. Lineage: Bacteria; Bacillati; Bacillota; Bacilli; Lactobacillales; Lactobacillaceae. The record is from RNAcentral.
GCAGUCGACGAACCAUCCUGUUGAUUGAAGCUUGCUUCUUGAUUCAGAUUUUGGUGAGUGGCGGACGGGUGAGUAACACGUGGGUAACCUGCCCAAAAGUGGGGGAUAACAUUUGGAAACAAGUGCUAAUACCGCAUAACAACUGCUUUCACAUGAUCGCAGCUUGAAAGAUGGCUCUGCUAUCGCUUUUGGAUGGACCCGCGGCGUAUUAGCUAGUUGGUGAGGUAAUAGCUCACCAAGGCAAUGAUACGUAGCCGACCUGAGAGGGUAAUCGGCCACAUUGGGACUGAGACACGGCCCAAACUCCUACGGGAGGCAGCAGUAGGGAAUCUUCCACAAUGGGCGAAAGCCUGAUGGAGCAAUGCCGCGUGAGUGAAGAAGGUUUUCGGAUCGUAAAACUCUGUUGUUGAAGAAGAACAUGCGUGAGAGUAACUGUUCACGUACUGACGGUAUUCAACCAGAAAGCCACGGCUAACUACGUGCCAGCAGCCGCGGUAAUACGUAGGUGGCAAGCGUUGUCCGGAUUUAUUGGGCGUAAAGAGAAUGUAGGCGGUUUAUUAAGUUUGAAGUGAAAGCCCUCGGCUCAACCGAGGAAGUGCUUC